UGGGGAAUAUUGCACAAUGGGCGAAAGCCUGAUGCAGCGACGCCGCGUGAGGGAUGACGGCCUUCGGGUUGUAAACCUCUUUCAGCAGGGAAGAAGCGAAAGUGACGGUACCUGCAGAAGAAGCGCCGGCUAACUACGUGCCAGCAGCCGCGGUAAUACGUAGGGCGCAAGCGUUGUCCGGAAUUAUUGGGCGUAAAGAGCUCGUAGGCGGUUAGUCGCGUCUGCUGUGAAAACUCGAGGCUCAACCUCGGGCUUGCAGUGGGUACGGGCUGACUAGAGUGCGGUAGGGGGUGACUGGAAUUCCUGGUGUAGCGGUGGAAUGCGCAGAUAUCAGGAGGAACACCGAUGGCGAAGGCAGGUCACUGGGCCGCAACUGACGCUGAGGAGCGAAAGCAUGGGGAGCGAACAGGAUUAGAUAGCCCUGGUAGUCCAUGCCGUAAACGUUGGGCACUAGGUGUGGGGUCCAUUUCCACGGAUUCCGUGCCGCAGCAAAGCGCAUUAAGUGCCCCCGCCUGGGGA
RNAcentral lists this ribosomal RNA (519 nucleotides) under uncultured bacterium. Its description in RNAcentral is "partial 16S ribosomal RNA". It matches the Rfam family "Bacterial small subunit ribosomal RNA", at positions 355 to 879 of the family's 1533-position model. The record is from RNAcentral.